GGUCGUCAUAAAAUGACGGGAGGAAUGUAGCUUCGAUCUCGUAUUGAAGUGUUAUAGCCUCUGGUAGAUGUGAUGAUCGGGAUUGAGGAUUGGAACGAACCCCUCGGGGCCAUCCGCCUGGCCUCUGGUGGUUGCUUUGGUGUCGAAAGCUUGCUUACGGUCAUCGAAGUUGGCUGCCAAAAGGUUAGAACGGGUUAAAUUCGUUAAGGAUGUUGACGUAAUGGCUUUAAACGACCCGUCUUGAAACACGG
This 251-nucleotide ribosomal RNA is filed under the name Glomeraceae sp. RNAcentral describes it as "partial large subunit ribosomal RNA". The record is from RNAcentral. Lineage: Eukaryota; Fungi; Glomeromycota; Glomeromycetes; Glomerales; Glomeraceae.